CCUACGGGAGGCAGCAGUAGGGAAUCUUCCACAAUGGACGAAAGUCUGAUGGAGCAACGCCGCGUGAGUGAAGAAGGGUUUCGGCUCGUAAAGCUCUGUUGGUAGGGAAGAAAGAUAGAGGUAGUAACUGGCCUUGAGUUGACGGUAAGUACGGAGAAAGUCACGGCUAACUACGUGCCAGCAGCCGCGGUAAUACGUAGGUGGCAAGCGUUGUCCGGAGUUAUGGGGCGUAACGCGAGUGCAGGCGGUUCAAUAAGUCUGAUGUGAAAGCCUUCGGCUCAACCGGAGAAUUGCCUCAGAAACUGUUGAACUUGAGUGCAGCAGAGGCGAGUGGAACUCCAUGUGUAGCGGU
Molecule: ribosomal RNA, 352 nt
Filed under: uncultured bacterium
Lineage: Bacteria
Description: partial 16S ribosomal RNA
Rfam family: Bacterial small subunit ribosomal RNA
Source: RNAcentral